UACGAAGGGGACUAGCGUUGUUCGGAAUCACUGGGCGUAAAGCGCACGUAGGCGGAUGUGUCAGUCAGGGGUGAAAUCCCGGGGCUCAACCUCGGAACUGCCUUUGAUACAGCACGUCUCGAGUCCGGAAGAGGUGGGUGGAAUUCCUAGUGUAGAGGUGAAAUUCGUAGAUAUUAGGAAGAACACCGGUGGCGAAGGCGGCCCACUGGUCUGGUACUGACGCUGAGGUGCGAAAGCGUGGGGAGCAAACAGG
Molecule: ribosomal RNA, 253 nt
Filed under: uncultured bacterium
Lineage: Bacteria
Description: partial 16S ribosomal RNA
Rfam family: Bacterial small subunit ribosomal RNA
Source: RNAcentral